CAGCAUCCACUCAUAGUCCUUGAACAGUUUGAGGCUGUUCUUCUGCUUUGCACUAGGAUGCAAAAGAAAAUAUCUCCCUGUGCUUCCUGUCUGUCUUUGAGGCAGACCAGAUUGAACUGGGGAGUACAUGU
RNAcentral lists this small nucleolar RNA (131 nucleotides) under Neotoma lepida (desert woodrat). RNAcentral describes it as "Small nucleolar RNA SNORA31". It matches the Rfam family "Small nucleolar RNA SNORA31". Rfam says of the family: ACA31 (SNORA31) belongs to the H/ACA class of snoRNAs which are thought to guide the sites of modification of uridines to pseudouridines. ACA31 is predicted to guide the pseudouridylation of U3713 in 28S rRNA and U218 in 18S rRNA. The record is from Rfam by way of RNAcentral. Lineage: Eukaryota; Metazoa; Chordata; Mammalia; Rodentia; Cricetidae.